This 504-nucleotide ribosomal RNA is filed under the name uncultured bacterium. RNAcentral describes it as "partial 16S ribosomal RNA". It matches the Rfam family "Bacterial small subunit ribosomal RNA", at positions 28 to 523 of the family's 1533-position model. The record is from RNAcentral.
GAUGAACGCUAGCUACAGGCUUAACACAUGCAAGUCGAGGGGCAGCAUGACGGAAGCUUGCUUCCGUUGAUGGCGACCGGCGCACGGGUGAGUAACGCGUAUCCAACCUGCCCUUGUCCAUCGGAUAACCCGUCGAAAGGCGGACUAACACGACAUGCAGUUCUCAGCAGGCAUCUAACGAGAACGAAAUGUGAAGGAGAAGGAUGGGGAUGCGUCUGAUUAGCUUGUUGGCGGGGUAACGGCCCACCAAGGCGACGAUCAGUAGGGGUUUUGAGAGGAAGGUCCCCAACAUUGGAACUGAGACACGGUCCAAACUCCUACGGGGGGCAGCAGUGAGGAAUAUUGGCCAAUGGGCGAGAGCCUGAACCAGCCAAGUAGCGUGCAGGAUGACGGCCCUAUGGGUUGUAAACUGCUUUUAUACGGGGAUAAAGUGGGCCACGUGUGGCUUAUUGCAGGUACCGUAUGAAUAAGGACCGGCUAAUUCCGUGCCAGCCGCCGCCGUAA